Aethalodelphis obliquidens (Pacific white-sided dolphin) is the source of this 1005-nucleotide long non-coding RNA. RefSeq lists it as uncharacterized. NCBI's taxonomy places the organism in Eukaryota, Metazoa, Chordata, Mammalia, Artiodactyla, Delphinidae. The record is from RefSeq and is a predicted model, not a curated record. The transcript has 3 exons.
GGGAAUAGAUGGUCUGGUUCAAUGUAAUUCAGUAGAUCUAGUGCAUAUACUGUUUUCUGUAUCUGAGGACGUUCAAGUUCAUGAAGGGUACAUUUUUGUUUUUCUUUAUUACAACUGGAGGGUAAUAUCCAAGACCAUCUUGGUUUCCUUCUGUGUUCGCAUCUCCUACACCCCAAAGCGUUCAGGAAAUACUGUCAAACGACAAAUCGUCAGAAAAAGCGGCUGCUCUACAUCUUCAGCGCCCACUGCUGACAUGAAGGGAUGCUCCCCAAACGGAUGCAUCCAAUCCCAGAAUCUACAACAGAAUCUCAUGUUUGAAGGAGUCUGGCUUAGCCAGCCAUGAUAGAGGCAGCGGGCGCUCCAGCAACAAGAACAGCAUCGCCAAGGGACUACACUCAGCAUUUCAGCAUCAAGCUGCCAUAGCUCUGAACUGUUAUCUCCCCAGGACAAAGCCAAGGCAAGUGCUCGGAUGUAAUUUGAUCAUUGGAUGAACUCACGAUCUGAGAAGAUAAAAACUUGCUUCAGAAAUUCAGACUGCUACACACCAAAAUCUCUGCACAGUUUUGUUUUAUGCUUGGUUGCCACUGCUUAAAAAGUUUUCCUAACCACAGAGAAAAGAAGUGAUAACAAAAUGGUUUCUUCUGAUGGGCACUCUGGGUCCUUUGGUCUGUUAGGUGAACACUCAGGUCAUUAAGUGCCGAGUCCAGUGAGUUACAGGACCACUGCCAGGGCCAAGGUACAGCCAGCCCUCUGCCCACACUUUGUGGAUAUGCACAACAUCUGCAUCAAAAGGUCUCCUUUGGGACAUCAUGCCUGAAUCAUGAGAGACCCUGAGUGAUUAGGAAAAGUGUAUAUUCUCUUUACUGUACUGCAUCCUCCUGGGACAGUAAUUCACCCGAGAGUGUUCAUCCACACAUCCCUCCAGGCCCGGCACGUGCUAGGGCUGCAAGAGAAGUUUCUUGAGAGGCGUUUACCAAUGGCAAGAAAUACAUUCAUUAUGUAAAA